AGUGAACGCUGGCGGUAGGCCUAACACAUGCAAGUCGAACGGCAGCACAGUAAGAGCUUGCUCUUACGGGUGGCGAGUGGCGGACGGGUGAGGAAUACAUCGGAAUCUACUUUUUCGUGGGGGAUAACGUAGGGAAACUUACGCUAAUACCGCAUACGACCUACGGGUGAAAGCAGUGGAUCUUCGGACCUUUCGCGAUUGAAUGAGCCGAUGUCGGAUUAGCUAGUUGGCGGGGUAAGGGCCCACCAAGGCGACGAUCCGUAGCUGGUCUGAGAGGAUGAUCAGCCACACUGGAACUGAGACACGGUCCAGACUCCUACGGGAGGCAGCAGUGGGGAAUAUUGGACAAUGGGCGCAAGCCUGAUCCAGCCAUACCGCGUGGGUGAAGAAGGCCUUCGGGUUGUAAAGCCCUUUUGUUGGGAAAGAAAAGCAGCAGGUUAAUACCCCGCUGUUCUGACGGUACCCAAAGAAUAAGCACCGGCUAACUUCGUG
Molecule: ribosomal RNA, 492 nt
Filed under: uncultured bacterium
Lineage: Bacteria
Description: partial 16S ribosomal RNA
Rfam family: Bacterial small subunit ribosomal RNA
Source: RNAcentral